CCUAGCAGAGCCGUCACGGAGUCGCACAAAGAACAGUGUACUGUGGCUGUGCUACGCAGAAAGUGGAACGCUCGUAGUGAGCGACAAACAAGACCUUGCUUGGAAUAGGACUUGGUAUAUAUACUGUGCUGAACUCGGUAUAGUGUGAUCUGCAUGUAAUUUCACCGACAUCUAUAAAUAACACCUAAUUAAGCUUGCAAGUGUGGAUAGAGUUGGCGCGCAGUCUUCGCCCUAAGGAAUACGGAAGCGAGAAGGCGAGAACUGCCACUGCUGACAGACGCCAGCCACGUUACUACGGCGGCCGUAAAUAUGUCAGACAAGGAAAACAUUCCACGUCGUCAGCGGUCAGCGUCUGAUACCUCCACUCUGAGCGACUUUGGUCAUCGCCCGACGUUUGAGCGUCGCGCUAGCGGAGUGAAGCUAGUGCGACAAAAUAGCAACGUGGUCGGUCCGAUUCUCGUCGAGGUACAGGACGACUCGGGCAAUGUCGACUUUCCACACAUAGAUGAGCCAGAGGAUGACAGCACCGGUCAGUUGCAGAUGAUGAAAUGGCUACUACAAGCGGAUGCUAGUCUGGCAAUGCUUGGCAAUCAGCUGACACUGGACGACGUUGAGGAGAAGAUCGCGCCCAUCAUGGAGGCUGCAGAAACGAGGAAGAAGGAGCUGCAGCAGCUACUCGUAGAGCACGCGUCUCUCGUUGCAAAGAUCAACACGUCCGAGGGUUCCGUCAGGCAGAAGAUGGCGCCCAAGCGACAGCACACGAUCGCAUAACCGUGCGCGGCUCCCUGCAAUGCAACACGGCAAACACGCGAACUUGCUCUCUCUUUCCCUACAGGCACAGGAGACGUGCACGUUCGGCUGGGGAGGGGUGACACGCAGCAGGUGCUAAUGCAUCGAUUACCGGCAAAUCGACGUCACAGGCACGUUAUUGUACAUCAAUCAUCUAUCGAUUAGUCCUAGAGAUCAAGCAGGUCAACGCGCGCAGUUUGGCGGUGUAGGACGUCCCAAAGAUUACCAUUUGCGCAUUGAUAUUUUGAUAGCAGUAAUCGUCUCCACGAACCAGUGUUGCAGUUCACUCGCAGCAAUAUUUACACACAAUCACUCUGGAAGCAAUACACUGUUACAAAGACACACAUGGUUAUAGCAGUAGACCAUGGACAUGCCAUAUGACUGCAGUAUGAGAAACGGGUAGCUUAACAGCCUGGAGGGGUCUUCGACCAAAGGGCCAACGUGCACCUCCGAAAAUAAUACAUGUACAGUAGAAAUUUGAUGAUCAGUCAGACGAUCGGCAUAUUUUAACAAGGUGCGAGCACCCACACUGCUCUCUAGAGCACUCUAAUUAACGGGGCCAGAGUUUCAAAAACAUGGCUUCAGUGACCAGUAGCCACUUGCCUAUUUGUACCGAUUAUAUGAGCAACAUGCGUGAUUGAGAGAUUUGGCCCCUGAAGUUUCUCACAUUUGCAGGUGAUUGAGAUGGAGAUGACGAUGAAGGUUUAUGAAAUUUAAAGGAAUAAUAUGUCCAUUGAUUAUGCAAUGUUGACGAA
Molecule: unclassified non-coding RNA, 1544 nt
Filed under: Priapulus caudatus
Lineage: Eukaryota; Metazoa; Priapulida; Priapulimorpha; Priapulimorphida; Priapulidae
Description: uncharacterized LOC106816269, transcript variant X3
Source: RNAcentral